UUGCGCUUCUCGCAACGAUCUCCAACGAUCUCCCUCUCGGAAGUCCUUCUCGCGUUCUCGUCACGAGUCUCCCAGAGCUCGAUCAAGCGCAAUAAAUCCCCGCUCGAGUUACAAGCGGCGCGUGAAAAACCGUGCGCCGCGAAGCAUCGAAGUAAAACAGACGGAGAGCGAGAGAGAGAGAGUAAGAAAGAGGGAAAAAAAACAAAAACAAAAGGAAGCGAGAGCGAGUGGAAGAAAAAAGGGAGGAGAGAGGGGGAACAAAACGACAAAGAGCGCGAAUCGAGGCGCUCGGCUCGCUCGUUGGAAGAAGA
Long non-coding RNA from Apis florea (little honeybee), 311 nucleotides. The record is from RefSeq and is a predicted model, not a curated record. NCBI's taxonomy places the organism in Eukaryota, Metazoa, Arthropoda, Insecta, Hymenoptera, Apidae.